This 253-nucleotide ribosomal RNA is filed under the name uncultured bacterium. RNAcentral describes it as "partial 16S ribosomal RNA". It matches the Rfam family "Bacterial small subunit ribosomal RNA", at positions 524 to 776 of the family's 1533-position model. The record is from RNAcentral.
GACGAACCGUGCGAACGUUGUUCGGAAUAACUGGGCUUAAAGGGUGCGUAGGCGGGUCCGCCAGUCUGUGGUGAAAUCCUCCCGCUCAACGGGAGAACUGCCGUGGAUACUGCGGACCUCGAGGAAGAUAGGGGCGUGCGGAACAGUUGGUGGAGCGGUGAAAUGCGUUGAUAUCAACUGGAACUCCGGUGGCGAAGGCGGCACGCUGGGUCUUUUCUGACGCUGAGGCACGAAAGCUAGGGGAGCAAACGGG